UGGGGAAUCUUGGACAAUGGGCGCAAGCCUGAUCCAGCGGCGCCGCGUGGGUGAUGAAGGCCCUCGGGUUGUAAAGCCCUUUCGCCGGGGACGAUGAUGACGGUACCCGGUAAAGAAGCACCGGCUAACUCCGUGCCAGCAGCCGCGGUAAGACGGAGGGUGCUAGCGUUGUUCGGAAUCACUGGGCGUAAAGGGCGCGUAGGCGGCUUGCCAAGUCGGGCGUGAAAGCCCAGGGCUCAACCCUGGAACGGCGCCCGAAACUGGCAGGCUUGAGGGCGCCGAU
RNAcentral lists this ribosomal RNA (283 nucleotides) under uncultured prokaryote. RNAcentral describes it as "partial 16S ribosomal RNA". It matches the Rfam family "Bacterial small subunit ribosomal RNA", at positions 355 to 655 of the family's 1533-position model. The record is from RNAcentral.